Loxodonta africana (African savanna elephant) is the source of this 245-nucleotide long non-coding RNA. It matches the Rfam family "WT1 antisense RNA conserved region 3". NCBI's taxonomy places the organism in Eukaryota, Metazoa, Chordata, Mammalia, Proboscidea, Elephantidae. The record is from Rfam.
AAGGAGAAGCGCCAGGACCGUGGAGUGGAGUGCGUUUCAGGGGCCCACGCAAACGCCCUGGAGUAUGAGGAAGCAGCGCGGACCGCACAGACUAGAACUGCAAGGCGCGCUGGGCGGGAGCCGCCGGCCGCCCCGAGGCCUCCGGCACCAGGUUGGCCGGGGACUGGGCCCCUGGCUUUCCAGAGAUGGUGCCUAUAAAGCAACAAUCAAAAUAGUUGCAGUUUUACUAAGAAACCGAGCGCUUA